Molecule: long non-coding RNA, 266 nt
Organism: Lemur catta (Ring-tailed lemur)
Lineage: Eukaryota; Metazoa; Chordata; Mammalia; Primates; Lemuridae
Exons: 3
Source: RefSeq, a predicted model, not a curated record
CCGUCCAACUUGGACCUCGGUUCGCGGGUUCCUGGCCUCCUGGCAUGUUUUCUGCGCACGAUUCUCUAGGCAGCGGCUCUCGCGCUUUGCACUGCAGUGAAGUUAGGGAAGGCAGCGGACUGAGCCGCCCAGCCUCUGCCUCUCCGCGGAGCCGGCGGGUCGGCAGAGCCCUCACUGAACCCAGGUUGCAAACUAAUGGUGCAAGGUUGGAUCCAGACCAGAAAUGAAUUUUGAGUUGGGCAGCCAUCACCACUACCUAACUUUGG